RNAcentral lists this long non-coding RNA (445 nucleotides) under Salvia miltiorrhiza (redroot sage). RNAcentral describes it as "long non-coding RNA (SMIL_LNC007244)". The record is from RNAcentral. Lineage: Eukaryota; Viridiplantae; Streptophyta; Magnoliopsida; Lamiales; Lamiaceae.
AUAAUCCAUUUAAAACCAAACAAUCCAAAAUAAAAAAUAACAUAAUAAUUCUAAUAUUGAAACGAUCAAUUUCUGUAAUCCUCAAAGAUGUCUUCCAUGUUGCAGCUACUUUCAACAUUAUCAACAUCCUACAAAAAUUAAGAAUAAAAUAUAAUAAGAAAUAAUACUUAUUUCAAUUGUAAAAAUAAAACUUAUUGGUUCAUUUCACCAACAACCCAACGGUCCCAACCAAUAAGAAAUCAAAACAUGAAGAGUCGAUUCCUUUCACCAACAACCCAACCAAUAAGAAAUCAAAAAUAAGAAAUCAAAACAUGAAGAGAACCGACUGCACUGACACAAAACAUGUUCGAAGUCGAAGGUUUACCUAAGCAGCUGAGCCCUGAGGGGAGGACGAGCAGCGGCGGUGGAGGGGCCGAGAUGAAGUGGUUCAGUCAACGCCUCAACA